Falco peregrinus (peregrine falcon) is the source of this 956-nucleotide long non-coding RNA. RefSeq lists it as uncharacterized. NCBI's taxonomy places the organism in Eukaryota, Metazoa, Chordata, Aves, Falconiformes, Falconidae. The transcript is spliced from 3 exons. The record is from RefSeq and is a predicted model, not a curated record.
GCUGUUUGCAGAUAGCUGCACAACUCAACAGAGAUGUUCUGCCGACAGUCUGGCCAUGCUAUAUAACCUGCUGGUUUGGCACUUGAUGGUGAGCGCUGCCUGGACCUCAUCACCAUGACCUUCUCCAUUGGUUUAAUAGCUCUGCAAUUUAUGGCAGUAAUAGAUCGUGCUGCUGGCAACCAAUGUGGAAACUCGUAACUAUUAUCUGCAGAGCAUGUAUGGAUACAAGGAAAUUACAGCCACAGUUUUAAAAGACCGAAGCAACGACAGACUGCAUUUUUGAGCCCCCCUAGCAGUACUGCGGGCCUGUUUGGGAUGCACAUGUUUCUUUCAGGCUUGGAAAGUCUCACUUUUUCUAUGGCUCCAUUAUUUGGUGCCUAGAAAUCAGGAGCCCAGUGCUGUGCCCUACUACCAGGUAUCCUGCACCAGUGUUGCUGAUAGGCUCUGCUGAAUAGCUACAUCCAGCACAUGGAAGCCACUGCACAGAAUGUGACAGCUGUAGCCAGCAGCCAGGUGUGACUUCAUGGGACUCAAAAUGCAACCUCACAUUGAAACCUUCCUCUUCUCAUGAGGCCAAGGAGCAGAGGAGUAAGUUGCCUUUCUUGUGUGCCUCAGCAUGCAAGAAGCUCUACAUGGGGCAAUAAAGAAAGUAGAGAAGCCUUUUCUGUGGAAAUGAUGAUGUUACUUCAUUGUGAUUGGUUUUGCAAGCUACAUGGCACCUUUGAUACAAGAAAGCACUUAAGCAGGGGCAAGGGUCUGCACAGAAGUGGUAAGAGAAACAGGUCUGGUCAAUCUGUGGCCCAAUCUGAAGCUCACUGAAGCCUGUCUCAUGAUAUUAGAAGACCGUCACGUGAUGAUACGCAGUGGGAAGGAAACAGCCCAUGCAAUGCAAUACAUGGAAUUAUUUUACUGAACUGUCUGUCCACAUACAAAAUACAAAACAAAAAAAUCUAGCA